AACGAACGCUGGCGGCAGGCUUAACACAUGCAAGUCGAACGGAUCCUUCGGGAUUAGUGGCCGACGGGUUAGUAACGCGUGGGAACGUACCCUUUUCUACGGAAUAACUCAGGGAAACUUGUGCUAAUACCGUAUGUGCCCUUCUGGGGAAAGAUUUAUCGGCAAAGGAUCUGCCCGCGUUGGAUUAGCUUGUUGGUGGGGUAAUGGCCUACCAAGGCGACGAUUCAUAGCUGGUCUGAGAGGAUGAUCAGCCACACUGGGAGUGAGACACGGCCCAGACACCUACGGGAGGCAGCAGUGGGGAAUAUUGGACAAUGGGCGCAAGCAUGAACAAGCAAUGCCGCGAGAGUGAUGAAGGUGUGAGGAAUGUAAAGGUAAUUAACAGGUGAAGAUAAUGACGGAAGCAGGAGAAGAAGCCCCGGCUAACAUCGU
Molecule: ribosomal RNA, 432 nt
Filed under: uncultured bacterium
Lineage: Bacteria
Description: partial 16S ribosomal RNA
Rfam family: Bacterial small subunit ribosomal RNA
Source: RNAcentral